Molecule: unclassified non-coding RNA, 341 nt
Filed under: soil metagenome
Description: partial contains 5.8S ribosomal RNA, internal transcribed spacer 2, and large subunit ribosomal RNA
Rfam family: 5.8S ribosomal RNA (bases 1-120)
Source: RNAcentral
GAUGAAGAACGUAGCGAAAUGCGAUAAGUAGUGUGAAUUGCAGAAUUCAGUGAAUCAUCGAAUCUUUGAACGCACAUUGCGCCCCUUGGUAUUCCAUGGGGCAUGCCUGUUCGAGCGUCAUUUGUACCCUCAAGCUUUGCUUGGUGUUGGGCGUCUUGUCUCUAGCUUUGCUGGAGACUCGCCUUAAAGUAAUUGGCAGCCGGCCUACUGGUUUCGGAGCGCAGCACAAGUCGCACUCUCUAUCAGCAAAGGUCUAGCAUCCAUUAAGCCUUUUUUUCAACUUUUGACCUCGGAUCAGGUAGGGAUACCCGCUGAACUUAAGCAUAUCAAUAAGCGGAGGA